Molecule: ribosomal RNA, 506 nt
Filed under: uncultured bacterium
Lineage: Bacteria
Description: partial 16S ribosomal RNA
Rfam family: Bacterial small subunit ribosomal RNA
Source: RNAcentral
AGUGAACGCUGGCGGUAGGCCUAACACAUGCAAGUCGAACGGCAGCACAGAGGAGCUUGCUCCUUGGGUGGCGAGUGGCGGACGGGUGAGGAAUACAUCGGAAUCUACUCUGUCGUGGGGGAUAACGUAGGGAAACUUACGCUAAUACCGCAUACGACCUACGGGUGAAAGCAGGGGAUCUUCGGACCUUGCGCGAUUGAAUGAGCCGAUGUCGGAUUAGCUAGUUGGCGGGGUAAAGGCCCACCAAGGCGACGAUCCGUAGCUGGUCUGAGAGGAUGAUCAGCCACACUGGAACUGAGACACGGUCCAGACUCCUACGGGAGGCAGCAGUGGGGAAUAUUGGACAAUGGGCGCAAGCCUGAUCCAGCCAUACCGCGUGGGGGAAGAAGGCCUUCGGGUUGUAAAGCCCUUUUGUUGGGAAAGAAAUCCAUCUGGUUAAUACCCGGGUGGGAUGACGGUACCCAAAGAAUAAGCACCGGCUAACUUCGUGCCAGCCGCCGCAGUCA